This 1448-nucleotide ribosomal RNA is filed under the name Rutstroemia firma. RNAcentral describes it as "eukaryotic LSU rRNA". It matches the Rfam family "Eukaryotic large subunit ribosomal RNA", at positions 237 to 1363 of the family's 3401-position model. The record is from RNAcentral. Lineage: Eukaryota; Fungi; Ascomycota; Leotiomycetes; Helotiales; Rutstroemiaceae.
UACGCCCAUGUGAAACUCUUUCGACGAGUCGAGUUGUUUGGGAAUGCAGCUCAAAAUGGGUGGUAUAUUUCAUCUAAAGCUAAAUAUUGGCCAGAGACCGAUAGCGCACAAGUAGAGUGAUCGAAAGAUGAAAAGCACUUUGGAAAGAGAGUUAAACAGUACGUGAAAUUGUUGAAAGGGAAGCGCUUGCAAUCAGACUUGCGCCUAGUUGAUCAUCCAAGCUUUUGGUUGGUGCACUCGACUAGGCUCAGGCCAGCAUCGGUUUGGGCGGUUGGAUAAAGACUUGGGGAACGUAGCCUCCUUCGGGUGGUGUUAUAGCCCCAGGUGCAAUGCAGCCUGCCUGGACCGAGGACCGCGCUUCGGCUAGGAUGCUGGCGUAAUGGUUGUAAGCGACCCGUCUUGAAACACGGACCAAGGAGUCGACCUAUUUAGCGAGUGUUUGGGUGUUAAACCCAUACGCGUAAUGAAAGUGAACGGAGGUGAGAACCCGUUAGGGCGCAUCAUCGACCGAUCCUGAUGUCUUCGGAUGGAUUUGAGUAAGAGCUAAGUGGGUCGGACCCGAAAGAUGNUGAUCUAUACGUGAAUAGGGUGAAGCCAGAGGAAACUCUGGUGGAGGCUCGCAGCGGUUCUGACGUGCAAAUCGAUCGUCAAAUUUGCGUAUAGGGGCGAAAGACUAAUCGAACCAUUAAACCUUACUAGGUGGUUGAGAGAGGAUCGUUUGAGAGAUCCUUUAGUUCCCACUCGGGGCAACAUCGUCAAAUUGUUCGGGGACCACCUGUGAAUUUGCAAGCUACCGCAGCCAGCUCGAAAGGGUUGGUGAGCACCUGAGAUAGCGACUUAGGGUAUGGUAAUAACGCUUGCAUGGGGUGUAUCCGCAGCGAAUCCCUAAGCCUUUUUAGGUAUGGGUGUCGUUCACAGACUAGACGGCGGUGGACGUGGUAUCGGAAGGUAUAGGCUUAAUAACCCUAUAUUCUUACAUGUCACGCUUAAGAUAUAGUCGAACCCCCCAGAGAUGGGGUUGGAAUCAAUGCUAGUAGCUGGUUCCUGCCGAAGUUUCCCUCAGGAUAGCAGUGUUGUAUUCAGUUUUAUGAGGUAAAGCGAAUGAUUAGAGGCCUUGGGGUUGAAACAACCUUAACCUAUUCUCAAACUUUAAAUAUGUAAGAAGUCCUUGUUGCUUAAUUGAACGUGGACAUUCGAAUGUACCAACACUAGUGGGCCAUUUUUGGUAAGCAGAACUGGCGAUGCGGGAUGAACCGAACGCGAGGUUAAGGUGCCGGAAUAUACGCUCAUCAGACACCACAAAAGGCGUUAGUUCAUCUAGACAGCAGGACGGUGGCCAUGGAAGUCGGAAUCCGCUAAGGAAUGUGUAACAACUCACCUGCCGAAUGAACUAGCCCUGAAAAUGGAUGGCGCUUAAGCGUAUUACCCAUACCUCGCCGCCAGGGUAG